CUGUUCGAGCGUCAUUAUAACCACUCAAGCCUCGGCUUGGUAUUGGGGUUCGAGGUUUCUCGGCCCUUAAAAUCAGUGGCGGUGCAUCUGGCUCUAAGCGUAGUAAUUUUUCUCGCUACAGGGUCCGGGUGGUUGCUUGCCAGAAUCCCCCCCCUUUUAAGGUUGACCUCGGAUCAGGUAGGGAUACCCGCUGAACUUAA
Molecule: unclassified non-coding RNA, 200 nt
Filed under: soil metagenome
Description: partial contains internal transcribed spacer 2 and large subunit ribosomal RNA
Source: RNAcentral